This 468-nucleotide ribosomal RNA is filed under the name uncultured bacterium. RNAcentral's name for it is "partial 16S ribosomal RNA". It matches the Rfam family "Bacterial small subunit ribosomal RNA", at positions 28 to 507 of the family's 1533-position model. The record is from RNAcentral.
GACGAACGCUGGCGGCGCGCCUAACACAUGCAAGUCGAACGGAGCUGAGAGAAGCUUGCUUUUCUUAGCUUAGUGGCGAACGGGUGAGUAACGCGUGAGUAACCUGCCCUGGAGUGGGGGACAACAGUUGGAAACGACUGCUAAUACCGCAUAAGCCCACGAUCCGGCAUCGGAUUGAGGGAAAAGGAUUUAUUCGCUUCAGGAUGGACUCGCGUCCAAUUAGCUAGUUGGUGAGGUAACGGCCCACCAAGGCGACGAUUGGUAGCCGGACUGAGAGGUUGAACGGCCACAUUAGGACUGAGACACGGCCCAGACUCCUACGGGAGGCAGCAGUGGGGGAUAUUGCACAAUGGGGGAAACCCUGAUGCAGCGACGCCGCGUGGAGGAAGAAGGUUUUCGGAUUGUAAACUCCUGUCGUUAGGGACGAUAAUGACGGUACCUAACAAGAAAGCGCCGGCUAACUACGUG